GCAGGGACAGUACCCAACCCCACUAUCUGGUAUCCACCGUGGUGCCCAGCAUGGUGCCUGGUACUUAGGAAGUGCUUAACAAAUACCAUUGAACAGGAAACAAAAAAGAAAAAGGAGAGGCAGAGUGGAGGAAACAGUGGGGCCUGAGACUGGAGAUGUCUCAGUGAAGAGUUAGAUUUCAUUGAUUGAUUCGUUCAUUCACUCAUCCAUUUUUAUUUAUUGAGUAUCCUCCCGGGUGCAAAGCAUUGUACUAAGCUCUGGAAAAGUACUAGACGAGAAUUAGACCUGAUCCUCAAGGGGUUUGUGAAUGGGUUGCAGGUGUCUCUAAUUCAGGUUGUUUUUCCAGAUCCCUUUAAUGAUGAGCAGCUGCAAAUCCCCUUCUCCUUAAUAACCUUCUGCCUCUUCCUUCCUUGAUCCUAAGCAAUCCAGUCUCUCCAUUAGGUGCUUUUCACUGGGGCAGGUGUCACUGCUUCUUUAAAGCCCCAGAGGCUGCUGGCCAUUUUGCUACCUCAUAUAGGGUCUGAGGGGCUUUUUCCUCUAGGCUGUGGCAAGGAGAGGGAGUAGGUUCUUCUCAGUUUUGAGAGAGCAGUAUUUGUGAUAUUCCCUUGCUUAGGUUUUCUUUUGUUGAGAGAAUGUGGAGAAAGUUGGAGUUGGUAUGUGGAGUUGGCUCCACGGCUGGAUAGGCAAUGUUGACUGCAUCAAUGAAGCGUAUGCUGCGAAGAGGGCUGAGAGUGGUGUGGGGAAUGUGUUCGAUACCGCUGAGUUGUACAUGUUGCCGACGUGGUGGCGAUGUUAUCUGUUGAGCGCUUACUAUGUGUGAAGCACUCGAGUGUGCUCCCAGUCAGCUAGUGUUUCCCACUCGACCAUAAAGUCACCAAGGCCAGUGACUUUCCACGUUCUCAACACUGCACCCUGUGUCUGGAAGGUGCUAGAAGGUGAG
Long non-coding RNA from Ornithorhynchus anatinus (platypus), 940 nucleotides. RefSeq lists it as uncharacterized. Lineage: Eukaryota; Metazoa; Chordata; Mammalia; Monotremata; Ornithorhynchidae. The transcript has 3 exons. The record is from RefSeq and is a predicted model, not a curated record.